CAAAAAAUCACAAAGAAAAAAAAAGCAGAUUAGUUGCUCUGUUCUUCGUCCUUUUUUUAUUUUAUUAUUUUCUGUUACCUGUAUUGUAAG
Molecule: non-coding RNA, 90 nt
Filed under: Tiarina fusus
Lineage: Eukaryota; Ciliophora; Prostomatea; Prorodontida; Colepidae
Source: RNAcentral